UGAAGCCCAUUUCUGGUGUCCCCGCCGUGAUAUUUGCUGGAAUAUUGCUGAGUGCGGCGUAAAUCUAGAGCUCGCUCACUCAA
Haliotis rubra (blacklip abalone) is the source of this 83-nucleotide long non-coding RNA. RefSeq lists it as uncharacterized. NCBI's taxonomy places the organism in Eukaryota, Metazoa, Mollusca, Gastropoda, Lepetellida, Haliotidae. The transcript has 3 exons. The record is from RefSeq and is a predicted model, not a curated record.